Non-coding RNA from Danio rerio (zebrafish), 1704 nucleotides. The record is from RefSeq and is a predicted model, not a curated record. NCBI's taxonomy places the organism in Eukaryota, Metazoa, Chordata, Actinopteri, Cypriniformes, Danionidae.
UGUUUGUCCAUUCUUUGAGUAGGUGUGAACAGGACAUAAAUAACAGCUGAAGAGCUGCACUGCUCUGAACCUUAAACAGAUCGUCACCAUGUUCUUGUCUGAGGGAAGUGAUGAAGAGGAUGACGAAGAUGACGACGAUGAAAAUUCUAGAGUCUGUUGCCAAGGAUAGACUUCACUCAAUAAAUGCUGGAUCCACAAACUUGCUUAUGCAAGUCGUGUCCUAUUUUCUUAUGGUCAUGUUUAACCAUGAUCCUAAUGAGAAUGGUGGAUUGUGUAAUCAUUCCUUCUGUGUACUUGAAAUGAAAUUCAAUAAGCAGUUGGAAGAUCUGAGCCAGUUAUUGCUGUGACUACGAACUUGAGCAACACACAUGACUCUAGGUUGUAGCAGGACUUACUGGUUGUAUUUUUAGACUGUGUUCAGCAUGUGCUGUUUUCCGCAUUUCUGACAAUAGUCAAAUAGUUCUCAAAAACAUUCCAUGAAAUUUUUAUAUUUCUGGGGUGUGUUUAUGCGUAUUGUAUUGGCUUUUAUGCCUUUUUGUACAAUGUGUCUAGUAUAUGAUACACUCUUAAAAUCAAAGGUUCUUUAUUCUAUUUAACAUAACAACUUUAAACUGGAUAGCAGGUUCUUGAAAAAUGUUAUAUAUCAUUAUUGAGUAUAUUAUAGCAGCAUAUAUAAUUAUUAGUAAAACGUUCACCCUAAACAUAAAGUAUACAUCAUUAAUUCACAUGUACACACCUUUAAAAAUACACUUUAUUUGAUGUGCAAUGCCACCAAUGACCUACACAAACGUCUUUUUAUUCUUAUUUUUGCUAGAGUAGUACAAAUGAGAAAAUAUUCUUUGCACAAUUAUCAGAUGUAGCUUUAACUUACAAACACUGAAUACUGUACUGCAUGCUCUCGCAUAAUGUGUAAAAAGUUAACUAUACUUUGGGCAUAAGGAGCUUGAACUUCUUCUUGGCGGUUCUAGGAUUUCCUCAUUAGGGGAGCUUUUAACCCUUUUUUUGCUGAUAUAAAUUAGAUUCAUUGUAAUUACUAAGUGUUUUCAAACAAUUUAUAUGGGCUGAAUUUAAUCAAAUGUUGCUCAUAAAUGGUUUGCAAUCACUUACCUUAAAAAAAACUGUAAAAUUGAGUAAAUCCAAUUGGCCAUUUUUUUCAGUGUAAUGUUAAAAAUAAAACUUGAUUUAACAUUAUAAUCAUUUAAAGAACAUAAAAUGUUAAUAAAAAAACAAUUGCUACAUUUUUAGAAGGUACGUUAGCUUCUUAUCAAUAAUUUUUACAAACUGAUUUGAGUUAUUUUCGUUAGUUGAUGGAGCCCCCUUUAAAGGGUCUAGAACCACCUCUGGUUUUUAAUAUGACAUCACUGCAAACUUAUAACAUAUUAUAACCUUUAAUUUUAGGAGUGUGGGAUUCAGUCCCAUCGAUUAUCCCACAGGGAGAAAAAAUCUUCUUACACACUGUUUGCCAAUCAGGUUAUUGCAGUGCUGUUAGAAAAAAAGUAUGUUACAAUAUUGGGUAUUUAACCUGUAUUGAAACUGCAUUGUAUGGUAAUCUGGCUAUAAUUGAGUGAUACUGUGUACUUGGUUAAGUGGCAAAGGGAUCAUUAGCAAGUAAUUUUGACUAUGAUUAAUGAUCAAUGUUUCCCCAUUGUGAUGUGACAUUUUGCUAUCUAAUGAGCUACACCGUAAAACUCCCCAUAAUACAUG